RNAcentral lists this ribosomal RNA (1227 nucleotides) under metagenome. Its description in RNAcentral is "bacterial LSU rRNA". It matches the Rfam family "Bacterial large subunit ribosomal RNA", at positions 1713 to 2925 of the family's 2925-position model. The record is from RNAcentral.
GCCCGCAAAUUGACACCGUAACUUCGGGAGAAGGUGUGCCGCUGGCGGUUAGUGACUUCGCGUCACGAAGCUGUCGGUGGUCGCAGUGAAAUGGCGGUUGUGACUGUUUACUAAAAACACAGGACUCUGCGAAGUCGUAAGACGACGUAUAGGGUCUGAUGCCUGCCCGGUGCUGGAAGGUUAAGGGGAUAUGUCAGCGCAAGCGAAGCAUUGAACCGAAGCCCCAGUAAACGGCGGCCGUAACUAUAACGGUCCUAAGGUAGCGAAAUUCCUUGUCGGGUAAGUUCCGACCUGCACGAGGGCAUAACAACAUCCGCACUGUCUCGACCAGGGACUCAGCGAAAUUACAUUGGGGGUGAAGAUGCCCUCUACCCGCGGAAAGACGGAAAGACCCCAUGAACCUUUACUGCAACUUGGCAGUGAUUUUCGGGUUGUUCUGCGUAGGAUAGGUGGGAGGCUUUGAAGCCGGGCUUCCGGGUUCGGCAGAGCCAACGUUGAAAUACCACCCUGAAUAAUCUGGAAAUCUAACCUGCGCCCAUGAUCUGGGCGAGGGACACUGCCUGGUGGGCAGUUUGACUGGGGCGGUCGCCUCCUAAAUUGUAACGGAGGCGUGCGACGGUUCCCUCAGGCUGAUUGGAAACCAGCCGUAAGUGCAAACGCAUAAGGGAGCUUUACUGCGAGACUGACAAGUCGAACAGUUGCGAUGCAGGUGUUAGUGAUCCGGUGGUACCACAUGGAAGGGCCAUCGCUCAUCGGAUAAAAGGUACUCUGGGGAUAACAGGCUGAUCGCGCCUGAGAGUUCACAUCGGCGGCGCGGUUUGGCACCUCGAUGUCGGCUCAUCGCAUCCUGGGGCUGGAGCAGGUCCCAAGGGUUUGGCUGUUCGCCAAUUAAAGCGGUACGCGAGCUGGGUUUAAAACGUCGUGAGACAGUUUGGUCCCUAUCUUCCGUGGGCGCAGGACACUUGAGAGGAGCUAUCCAUAGUACGAGAGGACCUGGAUGGACGAACCUCUGGUGCUCCGGUUGUCACGCCAGUGGCAUAGCCGGGUAGCCAUGUUCGGAACAGAUAACCGCUGAAGGCAUAUAAGCGGGAAGCUGGCCUCAAGACUAGGUGUCCCUGACGCAAGUCACUAAAGGCCCCUCGAAGACUACGAGGUUGAUAGGCUCGGUGUGGAAGCGCUGCGAGGCGUGGAGCUAACGAGUACUAAUAGGCCGUGCGACUUGACCUC